AAGCCUGACGGAGCAAUACCGCGUGAGGGAGGAAGGCUCUUGGGUCGUAAACCUCUUUUCUCAAGGAAGAAGAAAGUGACGGUACUUGAGGAAUAAGCAUCGGCUAACUCCGUGCCAGCAGCCGCGGUAAUACGGAGGAUGCAAGCGUUAUCCGGAAUGAUUGGGCGUAAAGGGUCUGCAGGUGGAACUGAAAGUCUGCUGUUAAAGAGUUUGGCUUAACCAAAUAAAAGCGGUGGAAACUACAGAACUAGAGUGCGGUAGGGGCAAAAGGAAUUCCUGGUGUAGCGGUGAAAUGCGUAGAUAUCAGGAAGAACACCGGUGGCGAAAGCGUUUUGCUAGACCGUAACUGACACUGAGGGACGAAAGCUAGGGGAGCGAAUGGGAUUAGAUACCCCAGUAGUCCUAGCCGUAAACGAUGGAUACUAGGCGUGGCUUGUAUCGACCCGAGCCGUGCCGGAGCUAACGCGUUAAGUAUCCCGCCUGGGGAGUACGCACGCAAGUGUGAAACUCAAAGGAAUUGACGGGGGCCCGCACAAGCGGUGGAGUAUGUGGUUUAAUUCGAUGCAACGCGAAGAACCUUACCAAGACUUGACAUCCUGCGAAUCCCGGUGAAAGCUGGGAGUGCCUUAGGGAGCGCAGAGACAGGUGGUGCAUGGCUGUCGUCAGCUCGUGUCGUGAGAUGUUGGGUUAAGUCCCGCAACGAGCGCAACCCUCGUUUUUAGUUGCCAGCAUUAAGUUGGGCACUCUAGAGAGACUGCCGGUGACAAACCGGAGGAAGGUGGGGAUGACGUCAAGUCAGCAUGCCCCUUACGUCUUGGGCUACACACGUACUACAAUGCUACGGACAGAGGGCAGCGAGCCAGGGAUGGCAAGCGAAUCCAGAAACCGUAGCUCAGUUCAGAUCGAAGGCUGCAACUCGCCUUCGUGAAGGAGGAAUCGC
RNAcentral lists this ribosomal RNA (940 nucleotides) under Raphidiopsis sp. UFMG181. RNAcentral describes it as "bacterial SSU rRNA". It matches the Rfam family "Bacterial small subunit ribosomal RNA", at positions 379 to 1335 of the family's 1533-position model. The record is from RNAcentral. Lineage: Bacteria; Bacillati; Cyanobacteriota; Cyanophyceae; Nostocales; Aphanizomenonaceae.